RNAcentral lists this ribosomal RNA (83 nucleotides) under Anolis carolinensis (green anole). The record is from RNAcentral. Lineage: Eukaryota; Metazoa; Chordata; Lepidosauria; Squamata; Anolidae.
GCCUACGGCCUGAACUAAGCAGGUUUGGGUCUGGUUAAGUACUUGGAUGGGAGAGCACCUGGGAAUACUGGGUGCUGUAGGCU